This 575-nucleotide long non-coding RNA is filed under the name Homo sapiens (human). RNAcentral's name for it is "HSALNT0355637". Lineage: Eukaryota; Metazoa; Chordata; Mammalia; Primates; Hominidae. The record is from RNAcentral.
GAGAACAAAGGAAGGAGGAAGUAACUGGUGGAAUGCUGAGAAAGCAUUUCAGUGUGCGGCAUCAUCAUGCAAGCUCUGUAAGAGGAGAGUAAGAUCAGUACUCCUACUUGUAAAUGAAAGAGAAGAAAACAAAAACAAGCAAAUUCCUUCUAAGGUGUGAGGAACACGAGUAAACAGAGAAAUCACCUAAGGAGAAAACAGGAAGCAGAUUUGAAACUGUGGCCACCAACGACACGAGGGAGCGCAAAACCCAGCCCACUUGCCAGGGAGGCUGGCAGAGCCCACACCCAGUCUGGUGCCCUGGUCGGUUACAUUCUGCUUUUUGAAGCAGCGUUCAAAAUCAGUUGUGGAUCAAGUCAAGAUGAACUCUGAAACAAUACUUUAAAUACCCCUGGAUGAUUUUGAAGCUCCCUGCAGCAUUUUUAGAAGGUACCAAAUAAGAAAAACGUGGAUGAAGAUGGAGAAAGCAUACAAAACUUUUACACACUGGUUUGAAGCUGUCACCGCGCGGAACAUAAAGAACAGGCCAAGACCAGUGCAGGCAUCGACGACUUUCUCCAUUCAGAGCCUCCGCG